This 268-nucleotide ribosomal RNA is filed under the name uncultured bacterium. RNAcentral's name for it is "partial 16S ribosomal RNA". It matches the Rfam family "Bacterial small subunit ribosomal RNA", at positions 333 to 593 of the family's 1533-position model. The record is from RNAcentral.
CACCACCUACGGGGGGCAGCAGUAGGGAAUCUUCCACAAUGGACGAAAGUCUGAUGGAGCAACGCCGCGUGAGUGAAGAAGGGUUUCGGCUCGUAAAGCUCUGUUGGUAGUGAAGAAAGAUAGAGGUAGUAACUGGCCUUUAUUUGACGGUAAUUACUUAGAAAGUCACGGCUAACUACGUGCCAGCAGCCGCGGUAAUACGUAGGUGGCAAGCGUUGUCCGGAUUUAUUGGGCGUAAAGCGAGUGCAGGCGGCUCAAUAAUGCUGAU